UUGAACGCUGGCGGCAGGCCUAACACAUGCAAGUCGAGCGGAUGAAGGGAGCUUGCUCCUGGAUUCAGCGGCGGACGGGUGAGUAAUGCCUAGGAAUCUGCCUGGUAGUGGGGGAUAACGUCCGGAAACGGGCGCUAAUACCGCAUACGUCCUGAGGGAGAAAGUGGGGGAUCUUCGGACCUCACGCUAUCAGAUGAGCCUAGGUCGGAUUAGCUAGUUGGUGGGGUAAAGGCCUACCAAGGCGACGAUCCGUAACUGGUCUGAGAGGAUGAUCAGUCACACUGGAACUGAGACACGGUCCAGACUCCUACGGGAGGCAGCAGUGGGGAAUAUUGGACAAUGGGCGAAAGCCUGAUCCAGCCAUGCCGCGUGUGAAGAAGGUCUUCGGAUUGUAAAGCACUUUAAGUUGGGAGGAAGGGCAGUAAGUUAAUACCUUGCUGUUUUGACGUUACCAACAGAAUAAGCACCGGCUAACUUCGUG
This 481-nucleotide ribosomal RNA is filed under the name uncultured bacterium. RNAcentral's name for it is "partial 16S ribosomal RNA". It matches the Rfam family "Bacterial small subunit ribosomal RNA", at positions 30 to 507 of the family's 1533-position model. The record is from RNAcentral.